GAUGAACGCUUGCGGCAGGCUUAAUACAUGCAAGUCGGACGGUAACAGGGUCUUCGGACUGCUGACGAGUGGCGGAUGGGUGAGUAACGCGUAUGCAACCUUCCUCACACCGAGAAAAAGUCGACUGAAAAGUUGAAUAAAGUCUCGUGGUGUGCAUUUCUCGCAUGAGAGAUGUAUGAUAGAAGCAAUUUGGUGUGAGAUGGGCAUGCGUAUCAUUAGCUAGUUGGUAAGGUAACGGCUUACCAAGGCGACGAUGAUUAGGGGGCCUGAGAGGGUGGUCCCCCACACUGGGACUGAGACACGGCCCAGACUCCUACGGGAGGCAGCAGUAGGGAAUAUUGGUCAAUGGGCGGAAGCCUGAACCAGCCAUGCCGCGUGAUGGAUGACGGCCUUAGGGUUGUAAACAUCUUUUCUGCUAGAGGAAUAGAGUUCACGUGUGGACAGACGACUGUAUAGCAGGAAUAAGGAUCGGCUAACUCCGUGCCAGCAGCCGCGGUAAUACGGAGGAUUCGAGCGUUAUCCGGAUUUACUGGGUUUAAAGGGUGCGCAGGCGGGCUCUUAAGUCAGCGGUGAAAUGUCUGGGCUUACCCUAGGAAUUGCCGUUGAUACUGGGAGUCUUGGAUAAGCAUAAGGACGGCGGAAUGCGUAGUGUAGCGGUGAAAUGCUUAGAUAUUACGUAGAAGACCAAUUGCGAAGGCAGCUGUCUGGGUCUUUAUCGACGCUCAAGCACGAAAGCGUGGGGAGCAAACAGG
Molecule: ribosomal RNA, 752 nt
Filed under: uncultured Bacteroidales bacterium
Lineage: Bacteria; Pseudomonadati; Bacteroidota; Bacteroidia; Bacteroidales
Description: bacterial SSU rRNA
Rfam family: Bacterial small subunit ribosomal RNA
Source: RNAcentral